This 163-nucleotide unclassified non-coding RNA is filed under the name uncultured Ascomycota. Its description in RNAcentral is "sequence contains ITS2". Lineage: Eukaryota; Fungi; Ascomycota. The record is from RNAcentral.
AAACCCUCAUGGAGUAAUUCAUGGUAUUGGGGACCGCCGGUCAACGGCGACCUCCUGAAACUGACAGGGAAUUGCCCCCGUGUUAGACUGAUAGAAAUCAUUUAUUGUCGAAUCGCGGUCAGGCAGCGCCCUUCAAGAAAAGUGCCCCCCUGGGACACCUUAC